Molecule: ribosomal RNA, 463 nt
Filed under: uncultured bacterium
Lineage: Bacteria
Description: bacterial SSU rRNA
Rfam family: Bacterial small subunit ribosomal RNA
Source: RNAcentral
CGGAGGCAGCAGUGGGGAAUAUUGGGCAAUGGGCGAAAGCCUGACCCAGCGACGCCGUGUGGGCGAUGAAGGCCUUCGGGUUGUAAAGCCCUGUUGGGUGGAAAGAAGGACUUCUGGACGAAUAAUCCAGGAGUCUUGACGGUACCACCAGAGGAAGCACCGGCCAACUCCGUGCCAGCAGCCGCGGUAAUACGGAGGGUGCAAGCGUUGUUCGGAAUUACUGGGCGUAAAGGGCGCGUAGGUGGUUGUGUAAGUCAGAUGUGAAAUCCCGAGGCUCAACCUCGGAACUGCAUCUGAUACUGCAUGACUCGAGUGCAGCAGAGGGAAACGGAAUUCCUGGUGUAGAGGUGAAAUUCGUAGAUAUCAGGAGGAACACCGGUGGCGAAGGCGGUUUCCUGGGCUGACACUGACACUGAGGCGCGAAAGCGUGGGUAGCAAACAGGAUUAGAUACCCCAGUAGUCC